This 575-nucleotide ribosomal RNA is filed under the name uncultured bacterium. RNAcentral describes it as "bacterial SSU rRNA". It matches the Rfam family "Bacterial small subunit ribosomal RNA", at positions 240 to 807 of the family's 1533-position model. The record is from RNAcentral.
AUUAGCUAGUUGGAGGGGUAACGGCCCACCAAGGCUUCGAUCAGUAGCCGGUCUGAGAGGAUGAACGGCCACACUGGGACUGAGACACGGCCCAGACUCCUACGGGAGGCAGCAGUGGGGAAUCUUCCGCAAUGGACGAAAGUCUGACGGAGCAACGCCGCGUGAGUGAAGAAGGUUUUCGGAUCGUAAAGCUCUUUCGUCAGGGACGAACGUAUUUCUUGUAAAUAAUGAGAGAUAGUGACGGUACCUGAAUAAGAAGCCACGGCUAACUACGUGCCAGCAGCCGCGGUAAUACGUAGGUGGCAAGCGUUGUCCGGAAUUAUUGGGCGUAAAGCGCGCGCAGGCGGGAUAUCAAGUCUGUCUUAAAAGUGCGAGGCUCAACCUCGUGAGGGGACAGAAACUGGUAUUCUUGAGUGUCGGAGAGGAAAGUGGAAUUCCAAGUGUAGCGGUGAAAUGCGUAGAGAUUUGGAAGAACACCAGUGGCGAAGGCGACUUUCUGGACGAUGUCUGACGCUGAGGCGCGAAAGCUAGGGGAGCGAACGGGAUUAGAUACCCCGGUAGUCCCAGCCGUAAAC